RNAcentral lists this ribosomal RNA (441 nucleotides) under uncultured bacterium. RNAcentral's name for it is "partial 16S ribosomal RNA". It matches the Rfam family "Bacterial small subunit ribosomal RNA", at positions 338 to 795 of the family's 1533-position model. The record is from RNAcentral.
CCUACGGGAGGCAGCAGUAGGGAAUUUUGCGCAAUGGGGGAAACCCUGACGCAGCAACGCCGCGUGAUCGAUGAAGCCCUUCGGGGUGUAAAGAUCUGUCAGUGGGGACGAAACCUGACGGUACCCACAGAGGAAGCACCUGCUAACUCCGUGCCAGCAGCCGCGGUAAUACGGGGGGUGCAAGCGUUUUCCGGAAUCAUUGGGCUUAAAGAGUUCGUAGGUGGCACGUUAAGUCUGGUGUUAAAGGCGGAGGCUCAACUUCCGUAGGGCACUGGAUACUGGCCGGCUUGAGUGCGGUAGAGGUAAAGGGAAUUCCUGGUGUAGCGGUGAAAUGCGUAGAUAUCAGGAAGAACACCGGUGGCGAAAGCGGUUUACUGGGCCGUAAUUGACACUGAGGAACGAAAGCCGGGGUAGCAAAUGGGAUUAGAUACCCGAGUAGUC